GGUGGCGAGAAAAUAACUAAACAACAGCUUAUGGAAUAUUGCAGCAGAGCAUUUGUGUACUAUCUUCGGUGUGGAACCUAAUGAUGAAUCAUGUUAGCACAUGAUAUAUUCACAUCCUUAUCAGAAUACAUUCACACACUUGAUCUACACACUUUGGUUUGCUACCAGUUGGGCACAUACUUCCUUGACAAUCAGAAUGAUUAUAACAGUGAUAAAAUUCUGUAAUAAAAAAAAUGAAAAAUUGUAACUAAAAUGAGAUAAUAUAUUGUAUACGAAGUAAAGAAGGAGAAUAAUCAUGCUAUAAACAAAAUUAACAACCAUAAUAAUUUGGGAGAAAUUGGGUCUUCGUUGCAACCGGAAAUAGAAAAAG
Molecule: long non-coding RNA, 370 nt
Filed under: Medicago truncatula (barrel medic)
Lineage: Eukaryota; Viridiplantae; Streptophyta; Magnoliopsida; Fabales; Fabaceae
Description: lncRNA gene39603
Source: RNAcentral